Molecule: ribosomal RNA, 231 nt
Filed under: uncultured bacterium
Lineage: Bacteria
Description: partial 16S ribosomal RNA
Rfam family: Bacterial small subunit ribosomal RNA
Source: RNAcentral
GAUCAUGGCUCAGGAUGGACGCUAGCUACAGGCUUAACACAUGCAAGUCGAGGGGCAGCGGGAAGUCAGCUUGCUGACUUUGCCGGCGACCGGCGCACGGGUGAGUAACACGUAUCCAACCUCCCGCAUACUCGGGAAUAGCCUUUCGAAAGAAAGAUUAAUGCCCGAUGGUUUCAAGGGAUUGCAUGGUAUCUUGAAUAAAGAUUCAUCGGUAUGCGAUGGGGAUGCGUU